Coturnix japonica (Japanese quail) is the source of this 1386-nucleotide long non-coding RNA. RefSeq lists it as uncharacterized. The record is from RefSeq and is a predicted model, not a curated record. Lineage: Eukaryota; Metazoa; Chordata; Aves; Galliformes; Phasianidae.
CUGAAAACAAGUACUGUUGGUGGCAAGAAUGCUCUUUGAAGAAACUCCAACGUUUCUCCAAGUAAAUCGAUAUAGUCUUAAACUAAUGCAUUUGAACAGUGUUCUGAAGUCAGUGAAGUUGCUUGCUUUCCUAAACCAGAGUGUCUGGAUUCUGAACAACAGUUUGAAAUAGAAGUUUAACCAAAUAUUUACUAAUAUUUGCCUGAAGCACGUACUGAAUUUGGAUUUACAACUUAAGAAAUUAACUCCCUCAGUCAUGAAAGAAAAAUAAGACAACAACCAAACAGAAUUGCAACUGAAUGCUGGAUGACAGCAAAUCAUUUCUCACUUCUCUAACUGCUUUCUACCAGAUUCUUAUGAGUUACUUAUUUGCAUUUAUUUGGAGAUAGGUUGCUCCUUCUUUGCACUUUUGUCCCAGUGAGUCAGAAUGAGUCAGAACACAAGGACAAGAGAGGAACAUGAAGCUUCUCUGCAUAGGGUUUGAAGUGGAUGAGAGUUAUACGCCACCUACUCCUUUGUGGACACCUUACUGAGACAUCACAGAGAUGCUGCUCUCCCUGUCUGGAACAGCAUGGAAGUGAAUUUAAUCCUCACCAAAUGAUAAGGUUUCUUGAAGAAAGCUCUGAUGAGAUGUGGACUUACAGAAAGCCACUAGGAAGACUGUCACAUUGACCUGAAAGCUAUCAUCUCCCUCAUGUCGUGUGCUGCUGGCUCAGACAAGGACAGCAGACCUUCACUUCUUGUGGUGACUGCCCAUCCUCCUAUGUCCUCGGGUGUUCUGACACACCUAUUCAGGAGCUGACCAGACUGAAAGUGCUCCAGCAAGCAUUCAUCUUAUCAAGAGACAUCAGAAGCACAGAAAUUUCCUGGGUAAUUCCAGGAAAUUCAUGUACUCAUCAGUGUUUUGUUUCCCCACCCUUUCCAAAGAUUUCAGUCAUAUUUCAACAUGUAAAUACAAAUAAAUAUUUACAUAGAAAUAUAAAUUCCUCUUAGCUUCAGAAACUCUUGUGUUUGCCUUAAGUGAGAAAAGUCCUUCCCAAAGGGCCUCUGUACCAAAGUUCUGUAUAUGUAUUUAUGUAUACAUGUGCAUGUAUACAGUCGUAUGCGUACAUGCACAGUACUGACCACAGCCUUGGCUUCAAAGCUGCUGUAAUACCACUGUUAGAUGCUGUAGAACAGUGUUCUCUAUCAGAAAACAUUUAUUAACAGAGACAUACACAAAACUACACCACUAGGAACAAAGAAUGCUGGUCAUGCUCUUGUCUAGAAAGGCUUCAGUGAUGGUGAUACAUGAUUGUAUAGUACAGUGUUAGCAAAUGCAGUCUAAAACAUGUAAAAGAAGAUAUGCUUCCAGCCAGCACAAAAUUAAACCACUUUUGUUGCUCA